RNAcentral lists this ribosomal RNA (590 nucleotides) under uncultured bacterium. RNAcentral's name for it is "partial 16S ribosomal RNA". It matches the Rfam family "Bacterial small subunit ribosomal RNA", at positions 355 to 1375 of the family's 1533-position model. The record is from RNAcentral.
UGGGGAAUUUUGGACAAUGGGCGAAAGCCUGAUCCAGCAAUGCCGCGUGUGUGAAGAAGGCCUUCGGGUUGUAAAGCACUUUUGUCCGGAAAGAAAUCCUUGGCUCUAAUACAGUCGGGGGAUGACGGUACCGGAAGAAUAAGCACCGGCUAACUACGUGCCAGCAGCCGCGGUAAUACGUAGGGUGCAAGCGUUAAUCGGAAUUACUGGGCGUAAAGCGUGCGCAGGCGGUUUGCUAAGACCGAUGUGAAAUCCCCGGGCUCAACCUGGGAACUGCAUUGGUGACUGGCAGGCUAGAGUAUGGCAGAGGGGGGUAGAAUUCCACGUGUAGCAGUGAAAUGCGUAGAGAUGUGGAGGAAUACCGAUGGCGAAGGCAGCCCCCUGGGCCAAAUACUGACGCUCAUGCACGAAAAGCGUGGGGAGCAAACAGGAUUAGAUACCCUGGUAGUCCACGCCCUAAAACGAUGUCAACUAGUUGUUGGGGAUUCAUUUCCUUAGUAACGUAGCUAAACGCGUGAAGUUGACCGCCUGGGGAGUACGGUCGCAAAGAUUAAAACUCAAAUGAAUUGACGGGGUCAUAGCUGUUUCCU